GACGUAGGGUGCGAGCGUUAAUCGGAAUUACUGGGCGUAAAGUGUGCGCAGGUGGCCGCGCAAGUCGAGUGUGAAAUCCCCGAGCUUAACUUGGGAAUUGCGCUCGAAACUACGUGGCUCGAGUGUGGCAGAGGAAGGUGGAAUUCUCGGUGUAGCAGUGAAAUGCGUAGAUAUCGAGAGGAACACCAGUGGCGAAGGCGAGUCUCUGGACAUUUCCUGACGCUGAGGCACGAAAGCCAGGGGAGCAAACGGG
Molecule: ribosomal RNA, 253 nt
Filed under: uncultured bacterium
Lineage: Bacteria
Description: partial 16S ribosomal RNA
Rfam family: Bacterial small subunit ribosomal RNA
Source: RNAcentral